This 117-nucleotide non-coding RNA is filed under the name Homo sapiens (human). Lineage: Eukaryota; Metazoa; Chordata; Mammalia; Primates; Hominidae. The record is from Rfam by way of RNAcentral.
GCCGGGCGCGGUGGCCCACGCCUGUAAUCUCAGCACUUUGGGAGGCCGAGGCAGGUGGAUCACCUGAGGUCAGGAGUUCAAGACCAGCCUGGCCAACAUGGUGAAACCCUGUCUCUA